This 72-nucleotide transfer RNA is filed under the name Pangasianodon gigas (Mekong giant catfish). Its description in RNAcentral is "tRNA-Glu". It matches the Rfam family "tRNA". Rfam says of the family: Transfer RNA (tRNA) molecules are approximately 80 nucleotides in length. Their secondary structure includes four short double-helical elements and three loops (D, anti-codon, and T loops). Lineage: Eukaryota; Metazoa; Chordata; Actinopteri; Siluriformes; Pangasiidae. The record is from RNAcentral.
UCCCUGGAGGACUAGUGGUUAGGCCUUGGCACUCUCACUGCCAUGGCCAGGGUUCGAUUCCUGGCCAAGGAA